GACGAACGCUGGCGGCGUGCUUAACACAUGCAAGUCGAACGGAAAGGCCCUGCUUUUGUGGGGUGCUCGAGUGGCGAACGGGUGAGUAACACGUGAGUAACCUGCCCUUGACUUUGGGAUAACUUCAGGAAACUGGGGCUAAUACCGGCUAGGAGCUCCUGCUGCAUGGUGGGGGUUGGAAGGUUUCGGCGGUUGGGGAUGGACUCGCGGCUGAUCAGCUUGUUGGUUGGGUAGUGGCUUACCAAGGCUUUGACGGGUAGCCGGCUUGAGAGGGUGACCGGCCACAUUGGGUGUGAGAGACGGCCCAGCCUCCUACGGGAGGGAGGAGUGGGUAAUAAUGAUUAAUGGGCGGAAGCAUGAUGCAGCAACGACGGGCGCGGGAUGACGGCCUUCGGGUUGGAAACAGCUUUCGCUUGUGACGAAGCGUGAGUGACGGUAAUGGGUAAAGAAGCACCGGCUAACUACGU
Molecule: ribosomal RNA, 467 nt
Filed under: uncultured bacterium
Lineage: Bacteria
Description: partial 16S ribosomal RNA
Rfam family: Bacterial small subunit ribosomal RNA
Source: RNAcentral